Molecule: long non-coding RNA, 2779 nt
Organism: Mercenaria mercenaria
Lineage: Eukaryota; Metazoa; Mollusca; Bivalvia; Venerida; Veneridae
Exons: 5
Source: RefSeq, a predicted model, not a curated record
AUCCAUUAAUUACGUUUAGUAGACAUAGUACUAGAGCCGAUUUACGCAAUCGAAUACCGCCGGAAGUAGAACAUUUAUGUCAACACCGGUUUCGUAUUUUCACGUGAAAACGGCCGAAAACCGAGAGGUUAUCAACAAAUUAUAAGUUUACGGGUUCCAUGAGGAUUUUUCAUGCAUUUAAACGACAGAAGUACAAGUGAACAGAUGACAUAUUAAAGUGGCUGCAGAAGCUUGAAAAGUUAGAUAGAGCAGGGGCAGUCAAAACAGUGGGACAAUACUUCUAUGGUGUCCAACAUGUCUAGUCAGGUUGACAGAAGUGAAAGAUGGUCUGAUGGUACAAUGAUGUACAAUGAUACUCUUUAACAAGUUUAAGAUGUCAAGGUGUAAAAUGUUCUGUGGAUUCAUAUGAUGAGAAUGCCAGUGUUGAUCUGUAUGACUUAAUUAAACACAGAUAUUGAUACCUUCAGAUAUGUACCUGUGAAAUCUUCAGUGUCACCGUUCAGCUAUUGUUCAAGAUCAGUGUCUGCAGCUUGCACAGUUUAGUAUAGAGGAGCCUUCUGAAUCAAUUUUGUUACAUAUUUGCUGUUAUUGUAGGACACACAUGUAGAGAGCAACAAGUCCUGUCCAGCCGUGCAUGUAAAUGUGAUUCAGAAACUUUGAGAAUAUGUAAACAUUACACUGUUAUAAUUUUCAAAAUGCUGUGUCCUGCAGUGUAUCAAUACUGUUUUGUCUCAGUUUAUAGCACAAUUUGUUCACAAAUCAAACUUAAGACCAUAGUGAUCAGUAUUAUUAAAAUCAUAAAUUAUUUGUAUGGUGACAAAAUUUAAUUUCAUGCAAUACCACAGUAAAACGUUUGAUAAUUUUCACUUUAAAAGUUGUAAGUUUAAAGUUGGCAUAAAUUGUUUUUCUCCUUCAUAAAUCUAAAAAGUGAUUGGUCAUUAUAAUUGCAAUAUCAUUUUAGUAUGACAAAGUUUAUAUUGAACUAAAACACUAAUGUAAAUUUUUGAACUAGUCAAUGCAUUUUCUGGGGCCUCCGUGGCCGAGUGGUUAGAGUCGUUGACUUCAAACCAUUUGCCCCUCAUCGAUGUGGGUUCGAAACCUCAUUUGGGGCGUAGAAUUCUUCACGUGAGGAAGCCAUCCAGCUGGCUUACGGAAGGUCGGUGGUUCUACCCAGGUGCCCGCUGGUGAUGAAAUAGUGCACGGAGGGGCAUCUGGGGUCUUCCUCCACCAUUAAAGCUGGAAAGUCGCCAUAUGACCUAAAAUUGUGUCGGUGCGACGUUAAACCCAACAAAAUAAAUAAACAAUGCAUUUUCUUCAGUCUUAAAACAUUUGUUUAUCGUAGGUGUCAUGGCCCAUAAGUCCUCCAUAUUAUUUGUGUUUUGUCCUUUUUAGUUUCACUGAAGAAUAGGUAGAGGUAUUGCACAUCCAUUUUAUAGCAUCCCUAUUUUGUAAAGUGUUGUAUGUAAGGUUUUAUCUCGGAAUUAUGUUUCAUCUAAAGGUGGGGAGAGGUAUUGUUUAUGCCUUCUCGUCUGUCCGCAUUAAGCCUGUCUGGCUUUAAGAAGACAAGCUGCUGGCCAGAUUUUGAUGAAACUUCACAAGACUGAUCAGUACCAAGCAUAGUGUUGUGCAUAUCGCUUGCAUGUUUCGUUUCGAUGCACUAAAUUGCAGCCAAAGCUAAAAAUAGAAAAAUUUUGUCGGCUUUCACAGGUCAAAACUACUUAACAGAUUUUGAUGAAACUUCACAGGAGUGAUCAGUACCAAGUAUAUUUUUGCAUAUCACCGACACCUUCCAUUUUGCUGCACAAAAUAGCUGCCAUACUAUUGCUAAAGGUAUACAUAGGUGGGAGACAUAUUUUGUCAUAAAAAUACCUAAAACACCUUCCACUUUCGUCUUUGUUAAUGAAAAAUGUAUCAAACUUCUUACAAUUACAAACUGUAAUAUUUUGACAUUAAAUGCACUAGUUCCAUAACUGCAUUUGGCUUUUUUCAUAGUUAUUGCCAUUUUCUUACCAUAGCAAUAUUUUGUGUAACAUGUUACCUCAUUAAGCAUCAUAAGAUCAGAAAGUUCUAUGACUCAGAAAUGUUGGCCCUUUUGUACUUGUCAUGAGUAUGUUUUCAGUAUUUUAUAUUGUCAUUACUUUUUGUUGUGCCAGUUUACGGAAAUGAAGACUUAGUUGUCCAAAUGUGUGCCUGUGCCUGUCCUGAUUUGUUUGUCUGGACAAUAUAUUAUUGAUUAGUCUUCACGAAACUUUGCAGGUUAAUUUCCUUAAGUUCCCUGUCAACUUUGAUAGUGGCAUGGUUACUUUAGAAACACUAAAGUGAUGUCACCACUGUACUAGUCAAACGUUUUGUAUUUCAGAUUUUAUAUCACAUUACAGGCUACUGGUCUUUAGCAGCCUUCAUAAAACUUUCAUAAACGUUUCCAAAAAUGUUGUAUUUUGAUUUGAGCUGGCAUUAUUCAAACAUUAAGAAGUAGUACUAUAAGGCAACAUUUGACCUCUUUUCCAGUACUUUUUGAUUUUCUCUGUUACUAUGAAGUUUCCUUUUCCUAGAAAUUAGUUGGCUUAUUUUUGAUGAUCUUAUGUUUUUAAUGAAUUGUAGCUAUGUUCUUUAUCUCAUAAAAAUGUCCAUUUUUAUAUAAUUCAUAUUUUUUACUGUCAACUAAGUGCAAUACCAUAUACUUAUAUCACUUUCAUUAACAUACUUGUACUAUUUUCAUAAAACAUUAUAUAAAUCAUUAUAUUUCAUAUAAACAGAAUUAAAUAAAUAUUUAAGAACA